CAGGAUUACUUUCCAACCACAAAUCCUAAAUGAAGCCCUAAUUCCUCUGGAUCGGGUAGUUUGACAGCUUCAUGUUCUUCUUCAGCAUCCAUCAUCAUCGAUAUGUUUGGUUAACGCAACGGAAUCUUAGUUCGAUGACGUUUCUUAUGUGGCAGUAUCUUCAUGUAUGUGUGGCAUUAGAGAUUUUGAACAAGAAAAGGCUGCUGAUGGUCAGUCGGCACCUUCACGCGUAUGUAAUCACGGUUGAAGCAUUUCUUUGGGUUCAAGCAAACUUCAAACUCUGCAAGAUAUGUACAGGUCGUUGAUGUUGAGGUAGGCACACUUAGUGCUCGACGAUGCCCCCAACGUAUGUCUGCUCUUCUUGAGAAAUGGAGGAUUCUCUAUAUGUUACAGAUGAAGCGUUUCUUUAGGUUCAAGCAAACUUCAAGCUAUGCAAGAUGUACAUUGUGUUGACCCUGUAAGUGGGAGGUUUUACUAAUUUUAUUAAAUCUGGAGAAGUGUGGAUUGACUGUUGUGUAAAUACUUCCUCUCCAUACGGCUUUUAUGAGUUUUCCUUAAAUGAUGUUGCUGGAUAUUUACAGAAACCAACAGAUAUUUCAUUUAUCUUGCAUCGUGUUGAGCAAGGCAGAUGCAAUUUUUACUGUUUUUUCUAGCUGCUGUUUCAUUUUGUUUUGAUGUUGAAUUAAGUGGGUCUUCGUUCAACCUGUAGAAUGCAUUAUAGGUAACUUAUUCUGUGACAAUGACUGUGUGUAGUCUAGGGUUCUAUCUUUUUUUGUUUAAUGUUUUCAUGAGUUAUAUUUUCUAUAGCUUUUCAUUUGUUGGUCAAAUAUGUGAGGUCAUUGUCAGCACAAAAGGUAUGUCAUACAAUAAAUGAGAGUUUCUUAAUGAAUGAAAUAUGUUUAGUUUAAUUAAAUAAAAGUUGAUCACUUAUUAAUGAGUAAUAAAAUAAUGAAUGAUGAAAUAAUGAAUUGAUUAACAAAAUACUCCUUUUCAGUUGCUUGUUCAAUGGGGUUUGAUAUGUUUCUUUCUGGAGACUAUUCAAGAAAUCAUUCGCCUUUCACACGUAAAUGACGAGUUCAUUUGCUGUUUCAGUGGCUUUGAUGAUUUCCUGGACUUAUGCGAGUACAAUCUCUCUACUAACCAGCAUUUUGUUUCACUUGAUCUGCAACUUGCAAGUUAUCCACUUCAAUGAUAAUGGGAAGCUCAUACAAAGGGAUGCUAAUGUGCUCAUUUUCAUGGAGGAGCACAUUCGGUUACGCUAUCAGAUGGUAGACUAUUCUGGUGAGGGUUUUUAGGAGAUGGUUUGUAUAUUCCAAGGGAGCUCCAAAAGAAUUGUAUUGUAUCUCCAUGGUGCUGAUGGACUCUAAGGGACAUAAGAUGCAGGCAAAUGUGAUGCCCAGGAGUUUGCAUGACAAAUAUUCUGAAUCCCUUGAGGAAGGAAAGAUAUAUUUAAUAGCCAACAUUGAAGUCACAAAGAAUGAAGGGCAAUACAAACCAACAAGGCAUCCUUAUAAAAUCUCAUUCAAUCAGUUUACCUAUGUGCAAGAACAAGAUGGCAAUAUUCCAUUAUAUUCAUAUGAUUUCUUCCCUGUUGUUGACAUACUUAAGGUUGAUCCGAAGAAGCUAAUAGGGUACUUAGUGGAUGUUAUAGCUUUUGUGAACUCGGUGGGAAACUUAGAAGAAUAUAGGAGGGACAAUGAGACAAAGCAUAAGAUUUGCAUGUGAUAGGGAAGUUGAGUGUGUCCUGUAUGAGCAAUGCUCGAAGGAUGCUUACUUGGCUCAUGUCCACACUAUAGAUUCCCCUGUGGUUAUGCUCCUUAGUUAUGCCAAGAUUGGGUUUUCUGAGGAUGGUAGACCUCAGGUUUCUAACUCUUUCAGCGUAACCAGAAUUUUUUUUAAGCCUCCUAUUAAAGAGGUGGCAGACCUUCUUGCUAGUGCUAAGGGCAAAUCAUCACCUAUUAGUGUUUUAUCCAGUUAGCUUAUGCCUUCAAGUCAAGCAUCUGCAUCAACCAUAUCUCGCAAGGAUAAUAAGAUUUUGAUAUGCAAUAUUCCAAACCAGAAAAUUGUCUGUCUUGCCAUUAGAAUGCAUUGCAUUUUAUUCUAAUAUGGAUAUUAUAAUCUGAAUCAUUCUAUGUUAAUAGGGUGAAUACUUUGUGAUCAGCUGCACUGUGUUGAAGCAUGAAACACGAUAUGGAUGGACCUAUGAUGGGUGUGCUAAGUGUGCAACAAAACCAACAGAUAGUAAUGGCAUCCUUUUAUGCUCUGGGUGUUAAAGGUGCAUUACACUGUUAUGGAUGACUCUGGGAGUGCUUCUGUUGUUUUUUGGGAUAACCUUACUGUUCAAUUGGUCGAGAAGACUGCUGCAGAGUUAAACGUCAUUGUGGACAAUAACAAAAACCUAUAUGGGAUUCCAAAAGAACUGGAAAAUUUAAUUGGGAAGAAGAUGAUGCUUAAGAUGAAGCUGAAUGAUUAUAAUGCUAGGCAUUCAAGCUCAAGUAUUAGUGUGUCUAGCUACACAAUUUGUGAAGAUUUGAUUGAACAGUUUAUGCAAGCUUCAAAUGAGGAUGAAUUGAUUGGAUCCAUCAAUGCUAAGAAGGAUGGAAACUCUGUUUUUGAUUUCCCUAACCAAGAGGGUAAUGGUGAUGGUGAGAAGGUUGAGAACCUCAAUCCGCCUUCUACUUAGUACAUACCACCCAGUGUUGAUUUAACUAUUUAUGAAACUUCACCUUCAAUACCUAUACCAGCAUCCAAAGGGAAACGUAGGGUUCUUGGAAAACGGAAUGCUACCUCUAGUGAGUCGAUAAUUGCAACACCUUUUAUUAGAAAUUCUGGAGAGCACAGGAACAUGAAGGUUAUUAAACAAGAGAAGUAGAGAAAGUGAUCUUACUGCUAGACGUUUGUUAUUUUCAAUAUUUUGAAGCCUUUAAUGUGUUGUGUUGUGUUUUUAUGUUGAGUUCAAGCUUUCUUAGUUCUUAGUUUAUGUAUCUUUUCUUCAAUCAAUUUAAGAUGUUUUCCAAUUUUAAUGAAGAGUAUUAUUGCUUUUAA
Neltuma alba is the source of this 3045-nucleotide RNA transcript. RefSeq lists it as uncharacterized. The record is from RefSeq and is a predicted model, not a curated record. The transcript is spliced from 14 exons. Lineage: Eukaryota; Viridiplantae; Streptophyta; Magnoliopsida; Fabales; Fabaceae.